RNAcentral lists this ribosomal RNA (399 nucleotides) under uncultured bacterium. RNAcentral describes it as "bacterial SSU rRNA". It matches the Rfam family "Bacterial small subunit ribosomal RNA", at positions 64 to 507 of the family's 1533-position model. The record is from RNAcentral.
GAACGCUCGUAGCAAUACAGGAGUGGCAGACGGGUGAGUAACGCGUGGGAACCUUCCCAGUGGUACGGAAUAGCUCAGGGAAACUUGAGGUAAUACCGUAUAAGCCCUUAGGGGGAAAGAUUUAUCGCCAUUGGAUGGGCCCGCGUCGGAUUAGCUAGUUGGUGAGGUAAUGGCUCACCAAGGCGACGAUCCGUAGCUGGUCUGAGAGGAUGAUCAGCCACACUGGGACUGAGACACGGCCCAGACUCCUACGGGAGGCAGCAGUGGGGAAUACUGGACAAUGGGCGCAAGCCUGAUCCAGCCACGCCGCGUGGGUGAUGAAGGCCCUAGGGUUGUAAAGCCCUUUCGGCGGGGAAGAUAAUGACGGUACCCGCAGAAGAAGCCCCGGCUAACUUCGUG